Non-coding RNA from Benincasa hispida (wax gourd), 749 nucleotides. The record is from RefSeq and is a predicted model, not a curated record. NCBI's taxonomy places the organism in Eukaryota, Viridiplantae, Streptophyta, Magnoliopsida, Cucurbitales, Cucurbitaceae.
GUAGAAGCACCUCUCCCUUGAACUCUGGUUCUAUAGGAUCGACAAGAAGUACGGCCUCCGGAUAAGCUAGGGCUUCCCCUUGCGGUGGCUUCCGAUCGUCGGGCAAAGGCAUGAAUCUCUGUCUCUUAUCUGCUACAGCCAUUGUUGUCGAUGAUAAACGCAGGCCAUUCUUUCAAGUGUUCGUAAAUGGCGUACGAAUAGAAUCCUGAUGAAUUACGAAGCAUCACGAACCUGUAAAAGAAGAGCAAGAAGAUUUCGAUUUUUCGCCCUUAAUUAUUCGUUCGUUGCCCUGAUGAUUAAUUUCAAAUUCUGAGAAAUUUUGAGAAUCGUUUAUGUUUGAUUUACCUUUUGUCGAUGUUUAAGGGAAUGAGAUCGCCUCCGGUGGAUGAAUUGAGACUUACCGAUCGAAAAUGCCCUUUGUUCCUGAACUUCCUGCCAGAUUCCAAACGAUGUCCCAAUAUCUGAAUAUUCAAUUCAGCGCAUAAAAUCACAAGGCAUUAGCUCUCUAUUGAUAUUUAAGUAAAUAUUGUGUUUGGAUUAUUAUUUUGUUUUUGAGAUCAGCAUAACUCAAGUAGUUAAUUCAAUACCAUAGUUCAAUUAGAGGUUGAUUUUCUCAUUCUUCUACCAGAAAAAAAAUCACUUUUAAAAACAAAUAAAUAUUUUUUACUUUUUAGGUGUUAACUACUUUAUAUAUGUAAGGGAAAUAAAAGGUUAGUAAAGAAUCCGGAUGAUUUAGACCUUUUUAGUAA